Long non-coding RNA from Spinacia oleracea (spinach), 846 nucleotides. RefSeq lists it as uncharacterized. Lineage: Eukaryota; Viridiplantae; Streptophyta; Magnoliopsida; Caryophyllales; Amaranthaceae. The transcript has 4 exons. The record is from RefSeq and is a predicted model, not a curated record.
UCCAGAAAAGUCUGGAGACUCCCCCUCUCUCUUUCAUUUUCUCGACCUCCCUCACACUCCGUCCUCCCUCUCUUCUCACCGUCCCUCUCUUCACCUUCGACAUUUCUCUCUCCCUCCAGCCCUGUUCUGCUCCGUCACAUCACCAACACGCCACCGUGCUCCGUCCUACCUCGCCGGCGCGUUUCUGAAGGUGGGUGUUGUUUGUGUUGAAUUGUCCUUCCACCUUCCUUGCCUCCCUUGGUGUUUCGCGUCGCCGCCGCCAACGACGGUGAAAUUCGGGGAUUCACUUCCUUGUUACAUUAUUCGAUUGCCACCACCGCAGGGACCGUGGUUGGCUGUUAACCGGCGACGUGAGGUCGCUGUGUCAAGUGGUUGUUGUUGAUUGAUGUUGUUGUCGAGUGUUGUUACUGCUCCUCUGCCUCACUCCUUCCUCCCUAAGACCUUAGGUUAUUUGAUGGAGAACGAAUAAGGGGAAUCGAAUCAUGAAGUUAAGCGAAGAAUGAUGAUUGAAUAGGUAACUUAGGAUUUAUGAAUGGUUAUUGAAGAGUUGAGAUAUUUUGCAGGUAGCAAGAAUCGAGUCUCAGUUCAGGUUCAAGGUGCGUAGAGUUCUCCAGGGGCCUUCUAUGUCCAAGGUUGGAUUAUAGAUUCGCCAAAUGUAAUUAAGUUUUCUAGGGUUUGUUAAUGGGCUGUAUAAUUUCUUCUUAAAGCUUUUGGUUUAUAAUUAUGAAUUAUAUAUUCGUGUUAGAGUUGUAUUUAAGUUAAGCUUGUUGGCUGAAGGUUAAGUGUGCCUAGAAAUAACUCAUUAAGUAUGGAAUGUUAAUGUUACCCUGGUGAUCUUUUGGGAAA